GAAUAUUACGUGAGGCAUAUGCUCAUAGAGUUUAUAUCCAUAAAUGACACAACAUAUAUUAUUAUAUCUCAAUCAUGGCAGUACAUGAAGCAGGCAUCAACAUGGCAUCCACCAUGAUAUCUUUUAUUGGAGCAACGAAAGAAAAUACACACAAGCACAUAAACAAACUGACACGCUGGUUUGGAUACUCUCGAUGGGAUCCUGUUUUAUUGAACUCGAUGGUGAGACAUAACUUUGGCCUGUGAAAUCUCAGACCAAGCAUAUGCAUUAUUAGUCAUCAAGGGAUGCCAAGAGAGUAUCCCCCUUACAGAAACUGUCACAAGCAUCACCGCAGCGUUUCACAUAGAGCUUCAUCUCUUCAGUGUUGUCAGCUGGUGCCAAAACAGGAUAGUAUGCGUCAAGAACUAACUUUUCAAUUAGUUUACAUGUACAAAUGAAACAUAAAUAUACUCAGAUGGAUUCUAUUUACCUGUGCUGAUCACGUUGUCACACACAGAAGACCUGCAUCCCAAGCUGCAAUACUCAAUGGCGUUUGGUUCAUCUGCCAAAACGAAGUAGAUCUGAGAUAAACAAUUCCUCGGUUACAAUAUGUCGAUGUUUUGUGUAUUGGGAUGGCCUCUAUCAUUCAUUCUCUAUUAGCUAUUUUCACAAUAAUUUUUGGUAGAUGUUUGUUAGCAUUAUGAAAAAUCAUUCAUGUCAAAUCUUAUCAUACAAAACAUCAGCUAACAAAUUCAGAACAGUUUAUUACAGUAUAUUAAUAGGUAAACUUGGAAUUUUGUUAAUUUGACAUUACACAUUUUUAGGAUCACAUCUACUUUGAAAAGGAGAAAGUAUAUAAAUUAGAAGUAGCGAGUUGUCUGUCUUUACCGGAGCUGCGUAGAGAGGCCAAGCCCGCGGGGAGUCGACAAGCACAGAAGUCUGCGCACUGGAACACUGUACUAGGACCGAGAAGGCAAGAAUUGAAGCAGGCCACUUUGAAGGGGUUUGCGCCGCAGUCCACGCCCUCUACUUGCACCUGCUCCAGGACCAGCCCCAGCACGAGUAGGCACACGAUCGCACUCUCCAGACCCUUUUUGCCUCCUCCCAUGGCUAUGGCUGCCGGGCUCUCUUGCAGAAGGCACGAGUACUAAUGGGGGCUUUUGGUUGAAGGACUGAUGAGAUUAGAGUGAGCUCGAUGGGCUCCUGGUAUCGAUUUUUAUACUAGGAGAUGAUGGCCGUGGGAGUGUCUAGAUGAGUACUGGUUGUUGCACGUGAAAAACCAAAGCGCACCGGGGCCAUAGUUUCUUUUCUUCUCCCACACGGGGCAAAAAGUUGGAUCGAUGGCGCGCGGACAAAGUUGGCCGGAGCCGACGACGACGACGGUGACGGUGUUGUGACCUGCACGAAGCUAUCCAGUAGGAUGUUACAUGCAAGCCGGCGAGUUUUUUUUUACUACAUUUCUAUAAAAAUAUACUCGUAUAUACGAUGAAAUGCGUUUUUGACGUGAGCUACACAAACAAAAUAAAGUAAUGUAUUUUGGCACAAGCACAUUUUGUUUAGAUUUUCUUUUGAAACUUUAAAAAUCCGAUUUCACUCUAGCAGGUCCUAUUUUGUUGCAGCAUGCAACUAUGGGGCGGGGUUUGGACAAAAUACAAUUUUUGUCAAAAUGACAUGUGUGCCUGGGAAUAGAGGGGGAGUGCCCGAAAGUGCCUUUCUGCUCCCGAGCUCAUUUGAGCUCGGUGAACAGUAAAAUCGAAAAAAAAAUUCAAAAAAUUCCAUUUUUUUUGUGAGAAGCAUUGACAAAAGUUCUAAGUGCUUGCAAAAAUUCAUCAUGAAAUCACAUUCCUGUAAGGCGUGGCAAAAAAAAAACAAAUUCAGUGCUCCAAAAUGCUUUUGAAAGUAGCAUUUUCAGAGUACCGAUUUUGUUUUUUUUGGCACGCCUUCUAGAAAUGUGAUUUCAUGACGAUUUUUUGCAAACUCUUAAAACUUUUGUCAAUGUUCUCCCAAAAAAAUAUUUGGAUUUUUUUGAACUUUUUUUAUUUAGUUUUGAUUUUACUGUUCACCCGAGCUCAUUUGAGCUCGGGUGCAGAAACUCUGCGUCCGGGAGUGUCGUAUUAUAUGCCAACGAAAUACCUUUUCUUUUUUGUUGGGAACGAUACGUGCAUGCCAGAAAGACAUCUCUUUGCUGUACACAUGUGCAUGACUUUGAGGUUUGAGCUGGCGAUGUAUAUCAAACAACGUGUGACCAAUGUCACCUUGGUUUUUCAUGUGCAAGAUUUGUAGAUUGCUGAUCACGCUUGCCGCGGGAAGUUUUUCGUGUGUAGAUACAUGGCUCUAUAUGACAUCUAAACUAGAGCUUUGUUUUUUCCCCUAUACUACUCCUAUCUUUAACUUUAAGAGAAAAAUAUACUUUUCAUCUCUUAACUCUUGACAAAGUCUAGAUUUAGUCCUUUAACUUUAAAACCAGAUUAGUUGCAUUAUAAACUUUUAAAACCGGUAAUACUAUUUUUUACAAAGAACAAUCCUACCUUGUUUACACGUCCACUGAAUGCACCAUUGUAAAUUACUUUCACUUUUACAAGCAAGGCAGGAGCUCUAUCGAUUUCAUUAAGAGAGAACUAAUUCAGAGUUGACCGGUUUAAAAGAAAAACAAGGCUGAAAACCAACAUGAACCAACACCGACACCAACACAAACAUGCCACCACCACCUUACAUGACCACAAUCUGGAGCGAUAGUAAGCAAGAUUUUCGAUGACGACUUCAAGAAGGAAAAACAAUGCCCGAGAACGCCGUCCUCACCGGCAUCAACCCCCAUCAAUCAAUAAGCUUUCGCAUAGACCCCUGCAUGACCGCCCCGCCAAAAAUUGGGAUAGAUCAAUCCUAGCCAUUAGGUUCCGAUGCCACUCCUCGCCGACCAGUCACAGAUUAGCGUGAAGAAGUACUCUUCGACAAUAUAGGAGGAGGACGCCCAUGGGCACCAACAUCACGGGCAACGACCCCCGACCAAGAACAAGGCUUUCGCCCAGAGUAUUAUGCCUCCCCGCCUCUUAUCCAAGGUAGGGGCCAGGCCCCUGCGAACAUCAACAACGGCGAACCAAACCAAAAGGAAAAAGAAACGCCGCGGCCUCCACAACACCAUGGAGGGCUGCCUGCAUAGGUGUUGGCACCACCACCACCAUUACUACGAGUAGUCUUGAAGCCACAAUGCAGCAACCGCCUCGCCUCCGCGCUGUCGACGAAUGCCAACCUCGCCGCCAACUAACGAUCUAGCCUGCUGCCCGUGCAGCCGCGACCAAAGCACACCAACGACGCCCACCACCAACACCAGUGUGCUACCACUCGCCACGCGCCGCACUGCCGCACCCAUCGCCGCUUCUACGCCGUCCGGUAGAGGAAAAAGUGCAGCUGUGCCGUCACCGACCCCAAGAGGUCACCUCCAAAGACGGAGCAGCAGAUCAGGCGCUGCCCCGAUCUGAGCCCUUUGAGCCGGCGCGCGAGCAACCACCGCCACGCAGCACUGGGGUCUCCCAGACAGAGUUUAUACCCACAGGCAAAUGAUACAACAUACACCAUUAUAUCUCAGUCAUGGUAGUGCAUCAGGGCAGCAACAUGGCAUCCAUCAUGAUGGCUUUUAUUUCGAACAAGGAAUGGACAUACACACACAUAAAACAGGGUGACACACUGGUUUGGAUACUCUCGAUGGGAUCCAAUUUUAUUGAACGCAAAGGUGAGACACGACCUUGCCCUGUGAAAUCUCAGACCAUGGACACGCAUCAGUACGCAUCAAGGGAUGGGAGGCCAGCAUCACCGUUACAGAAACUGACACAAGCAUCAGCACAAUUUUCCACAUAGAGUUUCAUCUCUUCAUCGUCAG
Molecule: long non-coding RNA, 3853 nt
Filed under: Triticum aestivum (bread wheat)
Lineage: Eukaryota; Viridiplantae; Streptophyta; Magnoliopsida; Poales; Poaceae
Description: long non-coding RNA (TAES_LNC010769)
Source: RNAcentral